RNAcentral lists this unclassified non-coding RNA (242 nucleotides) under Glomeraceae sp. Its description in RNAcentral is "partial contains 5.8S ribosomal RNA and internal transcribed spacer 2". The stretch from base 1 to 65 matches the Rfam family "5.8S ribosomal RNA", at positions 84 to 154 of the family's 154-position model. The record is from RNAcentral. Lineage: Eukaryota; Fungi; Glomeromycota; Glomeromycetes; Glomerales; Glomeraceae.
GUGAAUCAUCAAAUUUUUGAACGCAAAUUGCACUCUCUUCGGAGAGUAUGCCUGUUUGAGGGUCAGUCUUAAUAAAAAUCGGUGUGUUGUUUCUUUGUGACGCUCCGGUGUUUGGGUCAUCUUACUAUCAUUUAGGUUUUUAGAGGCUUAUAGUUGACUUUUUUUGCGCAUUUUAGAGGUACAUAGAUUCUUUUUUUUAUUCGUCUGUCUUACUACUCAUACUCCUAUUAGCUGCGAUAAUA